GACGAACGCUGGCGGCGUGCUUAACACAUGCAAGUCGAACGGUGAAGGGACCAGCUUGCUGGUUCUGGAUGAGUGGCGAACGGGUGAGUAACACGUGAGUAACCUGCCCCCUUCUUCUGGAUAACCGCGUGAAAGUGUGGCUAAUACGGGAUAUUCUGGGUCUGUCGCAUGGCGGGCCCGGGAAAGAUAUUGCUUCGGUGGGGGAUGGGCUCGCGGCCUAUCAGCUUGUUGGUGGGGUGAUGGCCUACCAAGGCGGUGACGGGUAGCCGGCCUGAGAGGGUGGACGGUCACACUGGGACUGAGACACGGCCCAGACUCCUACGGGAGGCAGCAGUGGGGAAUAUUGCACAAUGGGCGCAAGCCUGAUGCAGCGACGCCGCGUGAGGGAUGGAGGCCUUCGGGUUGUAAACCUCUUUCGCCAGUGAAGCAGGCCUGCUCCUUGUGGGUGGGUUGACGGUAGCUGGAUAAGAAGCGCCGGCUAACUACGUG
Molecule: ribosomal RNA, 489 nt
Filed under: uncultured bacterium
Lineage: Bacteria
Description: partial 16S ribosomal RNA
Rfam family: Bacterial small subunit ribosomal RNA
Source: RNAcentral